Molecule: ribosomal RNA, 301 nt
Filed under: uncultured bacterium
Lineage: Bacteria
Description: partial 16S ribosomal RNA
Rfam family: Bacterial small subunit ribosomal RNA
Source: RNAcentral
CAGUCGCCGCGGUAAUACAGAGGGUGCAAGCGUUAAUCGGAAUUACUGGGCGUAAAGCGCGCGUAGGUGGUUUGUUAAGUUGGAUGUGAAAGCCCCGGGCUCAACCUGGGAACUGCAUCCAAAACUGGCAAGCUAGAGUACGGUAGAGGGUGGUGGAAUUUCCUGUGUAGCGGUGAAAUGCGUAGAUAUAGGAAGGAACACCAGUGGCGAAGGCGACCACCUGGACCGAUACUGACACUGAGGUGCGAAAGCGUGGGGAGCAAACAGGAUUAGAUACCCCCGUAGUCCCUGUCUCUUAUAC